RNAcentral lists this long non-coding RNA (3342 nucleotides) under Olea europaea (common olive). RNAcentral describes it as "long non-coding RNA (OEUR_LNC008471)". The record is from RNAcentral. Lineage: Eukaryota; Viridiplantae; Streptophyta; Magnoliopsida; Lamiales; Oleaceae.
UGGGCUUCUUGGGCUUCACAGUAGGCAGCUUCAAGGGUUUCUUCGCCUCACCACCAACCUUUGGUGGUCGUCCUGGUCGCUUCUGUGCAGCCGGUGAAACUCCUCCAGAACCCACCGCUAAUGUAGCACCAGUAGGCAUCCCAACAGAAACAGUUGCUACAAUCCCACCAACUGCCACAGGUUGAGCAACUCCAGCCACCACAUCCUUAGGCUUUGGAGGCCUUCCACGUGGCCUCCCAGACCCCUUCACCACACCAGCAGCUGCAACCGUCUUCUUUGGCUGUCCUCGAGCAGUCAUUCCAGUCACAACAGCAGAAGAAGAAGAAUCCCUCUUGGGCCUCCCUCUGGGCCUCUGAAUACCACGUGGCUGAGCCCCCAAACUCUUUGGUGGACGACCACGUCCCUUCUUUAGCCCACCUUGGUUCGGCACACCCAGCUUAGGCGGACGACCGUGGACUUUUUUCUUUACAUCUCCAGCACCAGAAUCAUCACCAUUUACAGACCCAACUGGAACGUACACACUCCCUGGCCCAAUUGCCCUGUUCAAUUCAGUCCCGGGAACAACAAUUGGCACAGCCUGCUGCGUUUCAGGAGCAAAAACAGGUAUAACAUUCGGCACAGCAGCUUGAGCAUUCUUGGGUGGACGACCAGGCCGUCUUUUGGGCCCAACAGUAGCAGGACCAGAAAUGGAAUUACCAUUUACAUUGGCAGUAACAGAUACGGUAGUAGAUCUAGGAAGCUUGUAAGAGUUCUUUACCAUGAGAACCUGGCCACUGUUCUUCAACCGUUUCAGAUGCUUAGUCAACAGCGACGAAUGAGUGGGUGGCAGGUUCGAGUACUGAGUUUCUAUGUACUUAGCUAUAGCCCUUUUGCUCGACCCAUUUCUCUCCUUCAAAGCCCUAAUUGCCGCCUUUAUCAUCUACCCAAACGACAAAAAUGAAACAGCUAAAUUAAACACAAAGACUUGCAAAUUAAGAAAAAUUAAACAAAAGGCGGUUUCCAGUUAAUCGUACCUCAGCAUAAGGUGGAUGGUUGACGGCGGGAGCUUUAAUUGGAGUUGGGUUCGCUGCAGGAGCGAUGUGGGCUUCACCAGUCGAGUCAAUAGUUGGAGGUGGUGGAUCCAUUGAUGGCUCCAUGCAUAUACAUGAAAAAAGAAAAUUAUCUGUACGACUGUAUGUAUAUGUAGAGACAGAAAUUGAAAAGUGAUAGGGAAGAGGCAGAGGAGGGGACUAUUUGGAUUGGGAUGAGUGAGGUGAGUGUAUUUAUCUGCCAUUUGUUUAAUGGGAGUUUGUUGCAUUUAUUGCAAUGUUUUUUGAAAAUCGAGUCGAAUUUGAAGGGUUUAAAUCUUUUAAUUAGGUUUUGAAAUUUCAAAAUGCUCUUAUCAUCGUAGUUGCGUUGAUUAUGAAUAUUUUUCAGGCUCCUAUGUGGACUCCAUUUUAAUAAAAGAAUAUUUUUUUUUUUAUUUUUAAUCAUAUAUUUUUCAAUAAAAUAAUAUUAUAUAUAAAUUUAAAACUUUUCAUUUUGUCAAAUCAUACAUUCUCCCAAAAAAAAUUACUAUUUCAAAUAUAUUUUUUCCAAAAUUUAAUAUUAGUGGUCGGGCUCUAUUCUAUUAGCUUAAUUGAGCAAAUUCUCCAACAGUUUUUUAUUCGUUUAAAGAAAAUUUAAAAUGCUAUUCAACUUCUAUUUGAACAUCAAUUUCUAAAAAUCAUUUUUCUUAAAUUCAUUUUAAAUUACACAUUUUUCAAUAAGUAAUUCUACACGUGAAUUCGUAACUUUUCAACUACACAUUUUUUUUAAUUUUUAUUAAAAACUACUAAGUAUCAAAUAUUUAAUUAAACAAAAAAGAGGCUCAAUGUUAUAACAAAAUCAUUCAUGUAAUGCAAAAGUGAACGAAAAAUAACAUGUGGCUUUUAUUUCAAUCCAUUAUCUUAAAUAGUUAAGUCAUUUGUACAUAAAAAAUGUGCAUCACUUUUGACAUCAUCCAAAUUGACAUGAUUUGAUUGGCGAAUUUUUAUUUUUAUUUUUAAAUUGUUCGAUGAUAUGUUGCCACAUGGCACAAUAUAAAAGUGGUGUGCAUUUAGUAUGAUUGUAUCUUAAAUUUUCAAUUUUUAGGCUUAUUAAAACAAAAUAUCCCUACAUUUGACCGUUAGUGUGUUAAACGUCUUUACAUUUCAAAUUUGCAUUUUUACCCCAAUUUCCAUGUUUCAUUGGGAAAAAAUCCUUUUCAUCAACUUUUAUUGAAGUUUUCAAUUAAAAUUUAUCAAAUGACAAAUAUAUCUUCAUAUCCAAAUAAAACAAGAGAGAAAGGAAAAUAAAGAACAAAUUGUAAUCAUACUUCCAUUUUUUUAAAAAGUACAAAUAAAUCUCAAAUAAAUUAAAUUACAAAAUCAAAAAAGAAAAGAAAAAUCAUCUUAUUCUUUUUCCCUCUCGCACCCCCACCCCUAACACUCACUACAAAACGAAACCAGAAAUAGAAACCCCGAUGAAUGCUAAUACUAGAACAACUCCCAACUGCUACCAAACCCAUAGCCAUUACCACCUUCGCCACCAUUUUCUUCUCCAAAAUUCCUUCCAUUUUAUUUCAACAAACAAGAAAAACAUUUUUGAUGGGUUGUACAUAGUGUGUUGGCAUUGACCUUUCCCAUGCAGAAAAUGUUCGGUUGAGUCCAAAGAUGGGUUCGAUAAUAGGGUGACUAGAGGUACAUCAAAGCUUGGAAAUGCGAAGAGGAAGAUCGUGGUGAAGAUGAUAAUUAAGAGGUGGUCGCUUCUGUGCAGCCGGUGAAACUCCUCCAGAACCCACCGCUAAUGUAGCACCAGUAGGCAUCCCAACAGAAACAGUUGCCACAAUCCCACCAACUACCACAGGUUGAGCAACUCCAGCCACCACAUCCUUAGGCUUUGGAGGCCUUCCACGUGGCCUCCCAGACCCUUUCACCAUACCAGCAGCUGCAACCGUCUUCUUUGGCUGUCCUCGAGCAGUCAUUCCAGUCACAACAGCAGAAGAAGAAGAAUCCCUCUUGGGCCUUCCUCUGGGCCUCUGAACACCACGUGGCUGAGCCCCCAAACUCUUUGGUGGACGACCACGUCCCUUCUUUAGCCCACCUUGGUUCGCCACACCCAGCUUAGGCGGACGACCGUGGACUUUUUUCUUUACAUCUCCAGCACCAGAAUCAUCACCAUUUACAGACCCAACUGGAACGUACACACUCCCUGGCCCAAUUGCCCUGUUCAAUUCAGUCCCGGGAACAACAAUUGGCACAGCCUGCUGCGUUUCAGGAGCAAAAACAGGUAUAACAUUCGGCACAGCAGCUUGAGCAUUCUUGGGUGGACGACCAGGCCGUC